RNAcentral lists this long non-coding RNA (394 nucleotides) under Mytilus galloprovincialis (Mediterranean mussel). Lineage: Eukaryota; Metazoa; Mollusca; Bivalvia; Mytilida; Mytilidae. The record is from RNAcentral.
AGGUUUGACAUUUGCCUUGUACCCAUAAGCUUCCUCCAUUUCACAAAAAUAGGGGCUCUAUUUUACAUCAUUCCCACUUUUUUGGUUGUGAUCAACAGUGUCACGAAAUAUUUUUGUUAAGUUUUUCCACUUUUGUUCACAUUGCUGGAAAGUAAAUGUACUGAGCUGCUUCGUCAUGUUCGUCUGCACUUCUUCCGCCAUAUUCUUUUUCGAAACCAAACUACUAAACCGCCCCGAGAGCGGUUUGAUAAGUUUCCGAAACUGGUUUUCGUUUUGUCUCAAUAAACAAUCAAACCAGUUUCAGUUUUAAACCAGGUUCUAAACUGGUUUGUCAAAACAAAUGAAAAGUUUUGAAAACUGUUGCAAAACUUAAACCAGUUUGCUAGCAAUAAAU